RNAcentral lists this ribosomal RNA (468 nucleotides) under uncultured bacterium. RNAcentral's name for it is "partial 16S ribosomal RNA". It matches the Rfam family "Bacterial small subunit ribosomal RNA", at positions 28 to 507 of the family's 1533-position model. The record is from RNAcentral.
GACGAACGCUGGCGGCGUGCUUAACACAUGCAAGUCGAACGGAAAGGCCCUGCUUUUGUGGGGUGCUCGGGUGGCGAACGGGUGAGUAACACGUGAGUAACCUGCCCUUGACUUUGGGAUAACUUCAGGAAACUGGGGCUAAUACCGGAUAGGAGCUCCUGCUGCAUGGUGGGGGUUGGAAAGUUUCGGCGGUUGGGGAUGGACUCGCGGCUUACCAGCUUGUUGGUGGGGUAGUGGCUUACCAAGGCUUUGACGGGUAGCCGGCCUGAGAGGGUGACCGGCCACAUUGGGACUGAGAUACGGCCCAGACUCCUACGGGAGGCAGCAGUGGGGAAUAUUGCACAAUGGGCGGAAGCCUGAUGCAGCAACGCCGCGUGCGGGAUGACGGCCUUCGGGUUGUAAACCGCUUUCGCCUGUGACGAAGCGUGAGUGACGGUAAUGGGUAAAGAAGCACCGGCUAACUACGUG